Molecule: long non-coding RNA, 9747 nt
Organism: Ailuropoda melanoleuca (giant panda)
Lineage: Eukaryota; Metazoa; Chordata; Mammalia; Carnivora; Ursidae
Exons: 11
Source: RefSeq, a predicted model, not a curated record
GAGGAUGGGGGGCCGUCUUGGCCAGCCGAGGUGCCGUUACUCAAGCUCCAGGAAUGCCUGCGGUCAUUUCCCCGGGGAUCCCUGGGCCCUCAACGCAAGGGCCACCUCCCUGCCGAGCUGCUUCUCACCCUCUGAUACCCGGAAGCCUCCAGCGGGGGGGUGAGGAGGACAGGGGGGGUCCCCGUCCCCAUUAUCAAAGCGCCUUUCCCGCAGCAAAGCGUGGGGGUGGGUGAGCUGGGCCGGAAGCCUCCUGAGACCCAGUAUUUGGCACCAGACGGCCUGCCUCCCCCACCCCAGACCCAGUUUCAAUAAACAAUGCACAGAUGUCUCCUCAAAGCUUUUCUGGCCCGACCCUUCCUCUCUAGGCCAUUCCAUGAGCUGGCUCUGCAGUCCGGGGACGUUCGGAGAGCCAGCUGAGUAAGAGGCCAGAGAUGCCGAGGGAGGGCGAGGGCUGGUGCCCCUCCUGGCCUAUGACUGAGCCCCGACCCUGGUCCUACGCUGACUCCAAACACACCGAGGUUGGAUACCAUCACCAACUCCGAACCGCGAUCUCAUUGUUCGUCCCGACUGGGUCCACACACAUGCCUCCUGCUCCAGGAAGUCCUCCCUGCCUGGCAGUGACGUUCCAGGCUGCACGUACGUCUGUCCCACCACUAGAUCCGUCUUGAUCCGGGUCUUGUGUCUCCCCUAACUGGCUCCCCCUGGCCAUGUUCUACCUCUGUCACACUGGGGGAAGCCGCUGGAAAAGAGAAUAGCCUUGGGAGUUCAGGCUGGGUUCCCUACCCCAGUCAGAGGAGGGGACCCCCUGCAGAGGUCCCUGGGCACCGCAGGCCCCUCCCUCAGCUGGAAUGAUGCCUCCUUCUCUGCCUGCUCUCCUACAAGGCUCAGCUUCCCCAUCUGGACAUGGAGAGACAACGCUAAUCUGCGGCCUCCUGCUCAAAAGCAGCAGAUGAAGGAAAGCGGAACGCCAAAUCGCCCUCAUCUCAUGAGCCUGGGCUGGAGGAUAAACCAGGUCCAGCAGGAAGCGAUCUCAUAGCCCUGAGGGCCAGGAGUCAGCUCCCUCGCACACCAGACGUCUUCUGCCCCGGCCUCUGAUGCCACUGGUGCCUUGUCUUGGAAUUCUACACACGUGCAUGUUUAUGCAGGAAUAUAUAAUGUCCGCAAAGGCAAGGGUUUUGUCUCUUUCUUUCCGCAAAGGAAUACUCAGCUCCAGCCUGGGCCCAGCACGCAGGACGGUCCCUUGUGAGACCAGGGGAGAGAGGAUGUGGCCUUGCAAGCGGAUGAUAACAGAGGAGACAGGAAGUCUGCCUGAGACGCGGCUGCUCGGGACACAACUUGUUUGUUCCGACACUAGUGACCUUCAGCCAAACAGGGGAGCAGGAAGAGGACCCAGGUCCCUCUGUCUCCACAGCUCGUCUGACCCCUCACAACAGCUUCCUCAGCCUCAAGACUCCGUUUCUUUCUGAAGGAGCACCCGAGACAACCUCAGGGAAGGAAGAAGGGAGGCUGAGCUGUGAUUCUGGCUCGCCAGUCACCCGUGAUGUGACCCUGGACAAGCCACUUAACCUCUGAGAGCCUCAGUUUACUCAUCUGCAAAAUGGGGAUGGUAAGUAGUAUCUAGGGUUGCCCCGAGGAUUAAUGGACUCUAAUCAUAAAGCUCCAGGAAGAGUAGAAGACGCUGAGAAAGCACGGUGUAAGUGCUUGCAACAUAAGUCUUCCGGAGUCUGGAGUGAGAAUGGCAAGUCUUCGCAAACACCACACGGGGAAGGGGCUCUGCUUCCAAAGCCUUGCAGAUCCGCCGUCCCAACUCACCCUGUCAUGACCCGUGCCUGGAGCACAGUGAACAGGCAAGUAUGUAAAGGAGUGAAUAAGUGAGGUGUGCAGGAGGAGCCAGAAUCCAUCAAGUUCAACAAAAUUACGUCUGAUGGUUAAGGACUCAGUAUGGGGGUUCACGCAGACUCACAACCUGGUUGCACGACUAAGAGGCCGUGUGAACAUCAGCAAACGAGCCUGUCACCUUAUGAGAUGGGACAGAGAACAGUACCCGGCUUGUGGGGUCACUGCGGAAAUUAAGGGCAGUGAUGUGUAAAGUGCCCACAAAUGCUCGUGUCAUUCUCCCUCCCCUGGCUGCAGCUGGGGAAACCGAGGCCCAGAGAGCUGCUGGAGGAGGCUGCAGCGCUUGGCCUGCCCCACCUGGCUCACAGGGAGAGUGUGGGUCCUCCUAGGGUCGUCUGGGUGUAGGGCAGAGAUGACAGGCUCGGCUGCGCCAGCUGAGAGACCUCCCUAGGUCUCUGCUGUCUCCGCACCAGAGGAGUGCCGUCCCCAGUCCCCGCCUCUCCAGGAAGCUGUGAGGGUGAGUGACAUUGCACAUUUCAGCGGCGUGGCGGGUGCUCUUCAGCAGAUGGCGGGGUUGUUACUAUCAUCCUUGCUCUGGGGCUCGAACUCUGGACGUUUUUUGGGUACGGCCAGCUUCUGUCCUUCCCUGCACCGACUCCAAGCCCCAGGGAGAUUCCCCUCUACUUCGGAAACUCCUGGAGCCCACCUGGGAGAAGCAGCCAGAGUGGACAUUCCUCGGGGACCCUGGAGCCUCGGCCCUCAGCCUUGCCAGCCAGCAUUUGUUCACCCCUUGCACUGUGCCUCAGGAUGAGGCUUGAUUCAGGUGACUGUCUACCCUCAUAAUCCAGCCGGCAACCAUCCAACACUGCCCCUCAGGUGCCCCAUGUGGGGUUAGGUUUCAGACUCCAGGCAGGACUGCUGCAAGGAGUGACUGGUUUGUCCACCCCGCCCCCCCCCCCCACCAAGCUAGAUGCAGAGCCAGGCUCAUGGAGGGGGCCGGGACCUGGAGGGUUAAGCCUUCCCUGCCUCCAGCCUCCUGCCUGCCCCCUGCAGUGCUGGCCCAGCUGCUUGGAAUCCCUGGGGUCCUGUAGGGCCCUCCCGCCAGCCAGAUGGGCAACAGCGUCAGGAGAGGAGGAGGAGAAGUGGAAACAGGCCUCAGGGUACCCCCAGUUGGGGAGGGGGAGGGAGGAGGAAGGAUGGGGGGAGAACAGAGGAUGGCCAUGAGGUAGGGGAUGGCCAGUGGCUGAGAGUGGAGAAGGCAGGACCCCUCUUGGAGAGCCAGGCAGAGGGCUGGGGAUGCCUCGGGGCUUUGGGGCUGCGGGGAGAUGGGGCACAGGCUGGCGUGCUCAGCUGCCCUCAGCCUCAGAGCCGGCUCUUGGCGUGAAACCCUCCUCAGUGCUGGCUCCUCAGCUCCUCUUUCUUUUUUCUUAAUAAGGUCGAAUCAGAGUGAGUCAGAGGAGCCAAGUUUCCUGUUAGGCUCUGUUUGAAUAAACCCUGCUCUGGACAGAGCUUGGGCCUCUGCAUAGGUUCCCGGGGCCAGGGCCAUGGCCCUGUCAGCCAGCUCUGCUGAGACUAGAUGGGGUCCCGAGGAGGACCCUGCCAGGGACCUGGCCUGGCCCUCAGCCAUUCCCUGGGGAAGCCUGUUCCACUCGCAGAGCUUCAGUCUUCAUCUGUGUCUUGGGGGUGAGAAUACAUUUCUUGUGGUAAAUUGGGGCAGAUGAAAUGGGAAGGUUAUGAAAAGUGGCCAGGCACGUGGCCACUGUCUUUCCUCCUCCCUCACCUGUGGGAGGUGGCAGGGCUCCUCUCCCACAGGUGUUCCCCCCUCCCAUUUUCUCUGUCCCUUUCCUGUUUGGAUCUGUCUCCAGCAUCCUUCCUAGUCCAGGGGGAACCUUGUGCGGGAUUGGGGGGGGGUUGCUGAGCGCCACCCCCUUCUUUCCUCCUCUUCACUCCCUCCUUCAACCUCCUUUGCCCUUCCUGUCUGCACCUCUGCAGCUCUGUGAGCCCAGGGGAGCUUGCCCAUCUCCCCCUGUCCAGACACAGGGCCAGGCCUCGCCUCAGUAGCUGGAGGUGUCCUGGCAUCCUCCGGCUGAAACCUUCAGAGUGGCGUUCUGAAGAGACCUGGCCAGGCCGCCGAGGGUGCAGAGCCUGGCGCAAGUGAGGCCCUUGAGUCACCAGGCUGGGCUGGGCCUGAGCUGUCUGGACAUGAGGGGGUGGCGUGGGGACUCCUCUCGAGGCCUUGUCCUUACAGGCUGGGAUUCACACCCACGUUUGUAAGAUCUAGCCAUAUGGUUGAGGCUUGUUGCCAGUCCCUGCCCUGGCACUAGGAACCGGGCUCCAGGGACCUCAGAGGGCCAGCGAUAUAGGGCUGAAAGCUUGUCGAUAGCGCAUGACUUCACUAAGACCUACUGUGUGCUGGGAUCUGGGCUGGGCUGCUCUGUUGCUGGGGCUCUCAUGGAGCAGUCAGUGUCCGGUGACCCUGUGAUGGAACUCCAGGUUCUGGAAAUCCACGCAGGAGUGAGGAAGUAUCAGGCCUGACCAGCAGAGGAUUUGGGGAGCAGAGGAGGGACUGAGUGUGGUUUGCCUCACUGCUUUGCAGAGGGAAGGACCAGGAGGCCUGUUGGGGGUCUGAAUGUUUCUGUGAUUGGGGGUGUGGGUAGGGAUGAGGCAGGCUCCCUGUGCUCCUGUCCUGGAUCUCCCCCUCCUCCCAUAAUCACUGGCUGCUGAGCUCAGGCCCUGGCACCUGGGUGGGCAGCUCAGGAAAGGGCAUUGACGGGAUUUGUGUUGAAUUGGGAUUGAAAGCCCAGCCAGCCUUGAACUAUGCACCCCGGCCCUGCUUCUGGAAAGGGGGCUGAAGGAGGUGCUGAAUGAGGAGGCCUGGUGAGCUGGCACAGAACUUGCUGACUCUGCAGGGAGAGGGCCACCGAGUGACCACUGCCAGCUGAGGCCCGCGCUGUCCCCUCCCAGGCAGCCACAUCUGGCGCAAUGGUUGGGGAGGCAGGGGCGCUUUGGUCCCCAGAGCCAAGCCAAGGGAGGGGCCCAUGGAGGGGACUGCGGCCCUUUGGUUUGGAGUGUCUCUCUUCAGGGAAGGAACUCUGGAGAAGUCCGGAAGUGGGGGAGUGAGGUCAGGACCUUUUCAAGGGACAGAUGGGGGAGGGGGGAAGGGGAGGGAAGGAACCCACCCUUUUCUAGGACCCAGAGGAAUUCAGUGGCUCUGGCUGCCUCCCACUCUGCUUUCCCUCCCAGCUCUGCAACCCCCCACAGGGUUCCCUGGGGAAUUGGAAAUACUGGAGCUGAAAUAACAGUCUGGGCACCAAGGCAAGUCUCCAUGGCUCCACAGAAGCAGGAAGCCCCCUCGGGCCCCCUGGGCCACCAGCCUGGCCAGCUUCUCCCUUUCCUAACUUUCUGCCCAGAUCAAGAGGCAGUCAUGGCUGGGGCCUGCUAAAUGGAAACCUUCCCCUUUCCCACCCCCCACCCCUCCAACCCGGGGCCCAGAACUGGUAGAGGCCCAGCGGAUCCUCAGUACAGGAUGCAAGAGAGGGAAUCUUGUCCCAGGGCCUGCCUCAGUGGAGGGAUUGUGCCAAAGCUGUUGGCCGGGGCCUGCUGUGUGGAGAGCCCCUUAGGUCCGGGUUGGGGGGCAGAUAGACCUCAGCCAGCAUGCAGUGGGGAGAAGGAGGGAACAGAGUCCCCUGCCCAAAGGAGAAAGCUGGCAAGAGCCAGAGGGGUGCCAGUCCCUUGGGCUACAGCCCUGUAAUCCCUGAGGAGGGAAACUGAGGAAGGAACCCAAUGAUACCAACUAAUAGCAUCCUGGCAAAGCUAAGGGACCCCUGUCUCCUCUCCUCUCUCUCUUGUUUUCCUUCUUCUGUAUCUUCAACUUUCAUUUGGGUCUCACUAGGUUUCUCUAGCUUUUGUUUCUUUUUCUCAACACCCGCCCCCCCAUCUCGUCAUUCAUUCAUUCAUCUCCAGGUGCCUCCAUUUCUGUGGCUUGCGGGCUCUUCCGUCUGUCUGUUCUUCCACUGGCUUACCCACUCACUCCGUCUCUGCUGCCAGUGUUUCUCCCAGCUAUUCCUUCAUCUGUCUGCACGUUCAGUCAGCAUGUCCCCCGCGUGCCUGCUGAGCGCCAGGCCCCUGGGCUGGCGGCGGCGGGGGGNUGGGUGGGGGGGUGACAGAAGGUGCACCUGGCCAUCCGGAAGAGAGUUGAGAGAGUCGCAGUCUGGUGAGGGCAACGCGAUAGGCAAGACCAGAGUGCCGAGCCCUGAGUGGAGGCGGGGACGUUGUGCCAACUCUCUGUGACCUAUGAGAGAAUUUGUCUGUCCAUCUGUCCGACCGUGAUCCCCGUCUGUGUGUGACUCUAUCCUUGCGUGUGUCGCCUUUGUGGGGUGGCUUGCUUUCUGCUUUCUGUGGAGCACGUGCAGUUUGCUCAUUUCCCUCUGGUGGGGGAGGCAGGGGUGCUGAAGGGCCAGUGUUCUGGGCCAGGGGGCCGUGGGGCCGAGGAGGGCGCAGGACCCUGGGGACAGCGCUGACAGUGGUGCCUGCUCCCGGGCUGCCUGGGGCUCCGGUGCUUGGGCUUCUACUCCUCUACUCAAACGGUGUUGUUUUGCAGACAGUUCUGGCUAAGAUGAUAUGAUGGUCAUGGGUAUGGAUUAAGCUCCUACUGUAUGCCACAGGACUGGACAAAAUAAGGUUCUUCACUGAUGGUAUUUCCUAUAGUUUCGUGUGUGUGUGUGACCCCCCUCCCCCAGCCCCCCCCCCCAGGAGGCCUCCAGGAGUUCAGUUUUGCCCACCUGGGUCCUGGAAGUGGGGGUCACAGGGUAUGAAAGAGGAGUGCAGACAAGAUACCAGCAAUCUCUCCCUUAUUCUAUAGCUUUUUAUUUCAGCUUACAAAAGAAACACAUCAAUUACAGGAAAUUUAAAAUGUAGACUAAUAAAAAAAUAACUCUGUAACGUAGAGAAAACUACUCUCUUGGGAUUCCCCCCCCCCACUUUUUUAAUAAAUUGAGAUCAUACUGCAUAUGUUGUCUUAUAACCUGCUUUGUUUAUGUAAGAAUAUUUGGUGACUAUUUACCCACGUCAGGGGUUAUAACUGUCAAGACCUGCUUCCCUUUUCAGUAUUCACAUGGAUCCCUGAGCUCCUGCUUGCCCAGAAGAAGAGGUGAGCAAGCCUUCAUUCCCUCUAUAUGCCCUCUGGGUAGGACCUUGUUGGGGGGGGGCUGGCUCCAGCCUCCACCCCUCCCGUUAAGCCCUCACCCCCUUCAGGCUGAACCUGGACCCCGAGGCUAUAGUCAGACCUCCAGGUUCACUCGGUCAGGAUGAGCUCAGCUCUAGGUGGGGACAUCCUGACCCACUAGUGAAGAUGCCAGGUGGAGUGGUAGGGGUUGCCUUAAUUUCUGUCUGCCCAGGAGGCCAGCCACUUCCUUCCUUCGCUCCCCAUGGAGCAGGUGGUGGCUACCAGCCUUAUGCCUACAUAACCAAGAGGGACUCUGGGGACCCCAGAAGACCUGCCCCACAGACGUUUUUGUGUUCUCCAGGAAGAGAAGCAUCUGGCAACUUAAUUAAAAGUAACGUUAACAUUUUUUACUCUAAUAUAUACAUGAGACAAGUAUGCCAAGUGUACAGUUGGAUGAAUGAUCAUGGAACGAGCACUGAGAUCGAGAACUGGAACAUCCCAGCAGCCAGCCACUGCUAGCAGGAAGCAGGAAGCUCCUGGAAGUUCUGCCUAUGUCAGCACUUGGCUGCAUCUAAAACUAUUUUCCUUCAACAUGAUUUUUAAUGACUGAAUUAUGUGGAUAAAUCAUAAUGUAAUUAAUAACCUCCCUUUGUUGGUUUCAUUUUACUUUCUUAGCUCUUCGAAGUGAUGCUAUAAUAAGCACCCUGCACAUGAAUCUUCGUGUCUGCUCGGCUGUGUAAUAGCCUGAGUGCCUGGGUUUGCUUCCAGCCCUCAUUUGUGAGCUGCGUGACUCCCUCUGCCUUUUUUCUUUCCGUAAAAUGGGAAGAAUGAACUCUCUUUCGCCCUCUCACUUGCCUGCUCUGAUGAAACCAGCUGCCAUGUUGUAAGCCACCUUCUGGGAAGCCCACGUGGCAAGGAACUGAGGGUGGCUUCCGGCCAACAAGUAUCAAGGAACUGAGGCCCUCAGCCCCAACAACCCAUGAGGAAUGGAAUCCUGCCACCAACCACAUGGGUGGUCUUCCCCAGGUGAACCUUCAGAUGAGACCACAGCCUUGGCUAAGAACUUGAUUAUAGCCUUGUGGGAGACCCUGUGACAGAGAACUCAGCUAAGCCACACCCAGAUUCCUGACCCACAGAAACUGAGAUGGUAACCGACGAAGCCAUGACAAGACUUGUGCCCACCCUGUUGGGACAGGAGAGAUGAGGCAUCAGGGAGACACUGACCCACGGAGGAGCUUCCACCAGUUAUCUACUUGGCCUAGCAACUAUGGACACCCCAAGACCUCCCAGUGAGCUCCUCCCAAGUGCUGUUGAUGCCCAGCACUGCUACAUCUUCCAAAUGACACCCUGUCUGCAAGCCCCAUGCUUCCCACCUGCCCUCCAAAUUCAGGGGCAGCCAGCAAAUGCUGUCAGCAUCUCAUCUACUCGCUCCUUAUGAGGGAAGCUUUUGUUUUCUCAGAAAGUGGAAUUGUGAUCCAGUCCUUGGGGGUCUCCCUUCAAUCUGGAUCUUGGCCCUUUUCCACAGAUCGCCAGCAUUCCUGGCACGGGGAUUCACUUGCCCUGGCUUCCAGGCCAGCACAGGCUUUCCCUUCUUUAUAUUCAUCUGAUCAAUUCAGCUGGGAUCUGGGCAGGAGGAGAGCCCUGCACCAGUGUGACAGGAUGUUGCGUGGGACUUUUCCUUCUGUUCUGGAAUGCAGCUAAGACCCAAAACUGAGUACAAAUAACAUGAGGGACCCUGUGUCCCCACGCUCAGAGAGUUGCCAGCGAGCAGCGGAGCUGUAUCGUCUCCCUGCGGCAGGAAUCACGAGGGGGCUGCACUGGCUCCUCUCUCAUCACCCAGCACGGCCUCCCACAGGGAGGGCAAGGGGCAGGGGUGGGGGAGAGUAGUCUGCCAUGUGCGGAGUGCUGUGUUCAUGAUGGGGCCUCUCUCUCCCUUCUUCGGGGGAGGGCUGCUCUUUCUCCCUGAAGCCACAGGGAAUUUCCAGUAAGGCAGACCAGCAUGUCAUAGCCCAGGUGGGUGUCUGCGGACUCUGUGAUACACUUCCGAAGCGUCUGAGUUGGGAAAGGGGAAUGGGAGACAGACAGCAGGUGGAGAGAGCCGUGUGUGCGGGCCAAGCUCAGGCCCACACACACGCUGGUGCCCAGCCCAGGCAGACCUUGUGCAGGGCUUCCAAGGACGCCUUUGUGGACAGGUCCUCCGGAGGGAGCCAGCUUUUGAACAGAGGGUGAGACGGAGGAGCACAGAAGCAGUGAGGAUCCACCCACGGGAGGACAGUCUUGUGAGAUUUGCUUUCACCUCCCUCUCCUGCACCCCCCACAUGUCCCAGGGAUCCCCGGAAGAGAGAGCGGGAGGAUGGGUGUAGCAGGAUUCCCCUUGCUCUGGACCGUGCCUCUGGGGGUCAGUGCUCUCUGGCUGAGUAGAGGUGGGGAUGCCGGCCGGGGGUGAGCAGGAACCCCUCUCGGUUCUGGUUACGGAAACCAGAUUGUUCCAAUAGAUGAGGGCGGGGAAUUGUGUGCUGCAGCCAUCACUGAGAGCCCUGCGGCCCAGCAGGAGAAGGGAUUUCAGCGGAGCUGAGGGCGGCAGGAGGGUGGCAGUUAGAAAGCAAAUUUAUACCUCAGCAGAUCGAGACUCAAGGAAAUGUGUUACACUUGAAUAAAAUCUUUCUUAAAAGCAAAAGGGACAUCUUCAAAAGAUGAAUGGAUUAAGAAGUUGUGGCCCAUAUAUACAAUGGAAUAUUACUCAGCCA